Molecule: long non-coding RNA, 453 nt
Organism: Sinocyclocheilus grahami
Lineage: Eukaryota; Metazoa; Chordata; Actinopteri; Cypriniformes; Cyprinidae
Exons: 3
Source: RefSeq, a predicted model, not a curated record
UGUAUUGACAGUGUUUGGGCAGAGGUGGGUCAGCUCCACUGUGUCUCCAUUUAACAGCUCGAUAAGAGCCUCAUCUCGCCAAAGAGAAACCUCAACUGCUGUUGAUUUGCAGUUUAACUUGAAGUCCAGGACGGGCACUUUACCGAACUGCACCUGCGCCAUCCUCACCUCCUGCAACUACAAAUCACAUACCAGAGGAGACUGACAUGCCCUUCUUCCGAAGGCUUCACUUUGUCCACUGAGACCAGAGGGGAAUGUGGAACGAGGAUCUCUUUGGCUCUUCUUUCCUGGUCUUCAGUCAGGCUCAGUGGGGCGGUUUUAAAUUUGCUGGUGGCUAAUUUCACAAAAAUGCUUGGCUUUCCAUACUUGCUUGAUAUGGUAUGGUUUUUCACCCCAUAGCUGACCCCUCCUUCGAAUUCCGGGGUCUCACCUAUGGUGUACCAAAUGAAAAAU